This is a long non-coding RNA of Gallus gallus (chicken), 3369 nucleotides long. RefSeq lists it as uncharacterized. The record is from RefSeq and is a predicted model, not a curated record. NCBI's taxonomy places the organism in Eukaryota, Metazoa, Chordata, Aves, Galliformes, Phasianidae. The transcript is spliced from 4 exons.
CUCCUUUGUCCAGAGAUGUCAAAGUGCUCCAACCUCUGAACAAACUCAGGAAGAUGUGAAGAAGACGUGGAAAACUGAGACAGUAUUUGAGUUCACCAAUUCACUCACUUACUGAGUGAACAGGCCUGAAAGCAUUUAGGGCUUACCUAUGUCCUUAGGUAAGAUAGUAGCAAUAACUACUUCAUAUGAAACAUAGUAUAUCCUACUCUUUUGAUGAACACACAUUUAAUAGAUAUUCUUGUUUUAGAUACCUUUCUAAAUCUAUUUGUUGUAAUAAAUAUUGACUUAAAGCUUUAUAAUGACUUAUAACUUUAUCUCCUGCAGAUUCUCUGGGAAGUAUCAGUGUAUCAGUUCUUCCAAUUGUACAGACAAACAAACUACUAAGGGAUAUGUGGCCGAUUUACAGAGGAGACAGAGUAAAGCCAGAGUGUUUUUAGAACAGAAAGCCUAAUUCUUCUGUUUCUGCUGAAUCUUUUAAUAGUUACACUUUUUCACAUGGAAAAGAAGUAUGCUCUCUCAAGUCCUAGAAAGUUUUCCUAUUGGUUUAAAUAAGAUGAAGACAAGCCUGAAAUAAUACAUUAAAUUGAUAUUUUCUACCAAUUCCUGAAAAGUCUUAGUUUCAAGUGCUGUUGAGAUAUUUUAUUUUAUUUUAUUUUAUUUUUGUGCUGGUUUCUUGUUGCUUUUUUUCACCAGCAAAAAAAACUUCUGAAAACAAAAGCCUUCAGCAGUGUGCUUACUUUGAUAAAACACUUGCUGGGAAAUCUUGUUCACAUUACAGAAUGCAGUUGUUAGUCAAAUAUAGAGGAAGUUCCAUAAAAGCUGAUGAUUGAAACUCUCAACUGGGAGAGGGGAGCUGUGUUCAAGUGUCUGUCUGAUGACAGGUUACAUAGUUAUCCAGACUAAAAACUUCAGCAAAGAUUCAGGAGACAUGCAUGCGGUGAUAGUCGCUGUUUCUGUAUGGACCAUAAUGCAACACCAGUUUGAGAUCUCUUCUCUGUUUUUCUCCCUCUUAACUCCAAUUUCUCAUUCAAACUCACUGUCUUUGAGAAAGAGAGGCACUUCAGAAGUUCAUCAGUUCUACCUACUAAGAAAAUAAUGAAUCGCUCUCUGAUUGUGUCUAUUUUUCUCAAUUGACUACUGGAAAGCCUGAGUACUUAGCCUAAAUCAUUACAGAGGUAACCUUUUAUGAGUUGUGAAUCGCACCCUGGUCUCUUAAGAUUCUUGUUUUCUUCUAAUUCUUGACAUUUUUUGCAGAAAAGUAAAAUAGUUUUCUUCCCAGCUCUGUCUCCAUGGAGGUUAUUGGUAGAUGGAAAUGAGACUAUUCCUUUUUAAGUCAUUACUGAACAAAUAAUAUUGAGAUCAAGUCAGCAUUUUGCAAAAACUGUGACAGCGGUGUCAUCACUCUGUUCUCUAUCAAAUCCCUCCCCAAAUCCCUACAGCUGCUUUGGUACUUAUUGGUUCCUGUUUGCUGUAAUGGGGGAAGCUGUGCACUUUGACAACAGAAACUCACAGGUGUUGAUGUCAAGAAUAGAAAUGAAGGUCAUUGCUCCUAUCCAGCAGUAAGUAUUUUGGAAGAACAGACUAAGGAAGGAGCUAAUGAUACUCCUGGCCUAAAAGAAGAUCAAGUCCUUUUUCAAUGAAUAAUUUGACCUGAAUUAAAUCCUUCGUUGUUAUAAUGUGGCCACAAAAGUAAGCAGAACUGUCCCUAUUUAUCCUAACUAGGGAAUAAGCCCUUUGUCUCAUGCUUUUAUUAAAUAUGCUUUGAAAUAUUAAUUAUUAUUAUUAUUUACUAUUAUUUAAUAUUCACUAUUAUUUCGAUAAAAGGAAAUAUUUAGGCCUGAUGACCUAUCCUGAGCAAAGUAUUGCAGCACGUAGAUUAGGACCAUCCUACAAAGAGCAUGGCCAGAGGAGCCUGUGCCUGAAAGAAGCCCAUGAGUCAUCAGUGCACCACCACAAGCUGCCUUGACCCUGAACUGGUGGAAUUCAACCACAGAACAGUUAAUUUUCCCGUCCUAGGGUGUACAGUAAACUAGCCAUGAAUUAGAAACCUUUCAGCCUCCACCCUACAUUUGUCCAUGUCCAUGGAGUUGUUUGUGUUUGCUUUUUUCCCAAGGUAGUUUCUUGGCAGCCAGUUCCUCUUUCUCCCUGUAAGGUGCCUCCACCCUCCUAAAUUACUUACUUCCCUGCUCACUUUUGGGUCCUCUCCCUUGAGCACCCACAGCACAUAAACAUUAGUUCAGUCCCAGCUGUCUUUGGGAUGCAGAUACUUCCCUCUGAAAUAAAAACUAGUUGUAGUGUUUGGGUUUGUUUGUUCCAAAAACACACUCAUACAGGACUGUAAAAAUGAUUUUGUAAGUUUAUCUCCCUUUUCUCCAUAUAGUCCUCUGACAUCCUCCUAACAGGUUUUACACCCUUAGGGACAUGAUUUAGUGGGCAUGGUGAUGGUGGGUUGGACUAGACGAUCUUAAUGGUCUUUUCCAACCUCAAUGAUUCCAUAAUUAAAAAAAAUAAUAAUUACAAACCGUGCACAUCAUUGCUUUGCAAUUCCUGGCAUAGGAGCCUGAGAUAAUAAAUUUUGUCCUAGAGACUGAACAUCCUGAAGCCUUCUGAGGCUUCCAGUUCCCUGAAGAUAGAGUCCUUUGCACUUCGGUUUUAAGAUGCUGAGUCUUCAGUGACAGCAGUCAAAAGCAUUCUUGUCCCUUGCUUUUCUCUCCAGCUCUGAGCUGCUGCAGCUGUAUUGGUACGGCUGCCUGAGGUGAUGCAAUGGAAACUGGGCUGUGGGGCUCACGCAGCUUAAAAAAACAUCAGGAUUCUCAACCACUGUAUAGUUUUCUCAAAUACAUGUAGAAGUUAUUAGGUAAAUACACAAAGCCAUGAAUAUCAAUUGCAGAAAUCAGAAGGGAGAAAAAAAAACCCUCUUUUAUUUUUCCUAUUAAUCAGAGUGAAGAAUACGCAUUCAUUUCUAAUAAAAUUCAUUAAAGGAAUAUUCUGUGUCUACAUGAAAUAUUCUUCCCUUUGUGUCCAGAAUGUGCCAAGGACAGCUAAGAACAUGAGAAUCAUUUCUAGAAAGGCCUCUUUAUGCACAGCUUUUACUUGCGCACUUCAUGUGAAGAGCUCAAAGUAUAUUAUGGAUUUAGCCAAACUGAUGGUGGUCUCCAAAGGGUAAGAAGUAUUCUCCUACUGGUGAGUCAGGUGGCACGUCAACAGGUGAAACAUCAUGCUCAAGGUCAGUAAAUGAGCCCGUGGCAAAGCUAGAAGAGAAGCAGUAGAGGUGAAUUAAAUAGGGACUGACGGCAGCCAGCUGCCUUGCUGCAGCUGUGCUCGGGGAGCAUUGAUCUUAUUUUGUUGAUGCAAGUGAACUUCUCCAGA